Cajanus cajan (pigeon pea) is the source of this 304-nucleotide non-coding RNA. The record is from RefSeq and is a predicted model, not a curated record. NCBI's taxonomy places the organism in Eukaryota, Viridiplantae, Streptophyta, Magnoliopsida, Fabales, Fabaceae.
UGAGAAACUGCUCCGAGAAAUGAUUGCUAGAGGCUUAUUCUAAGAGUUAAACUUGGAGAUAGUUGGAUUCUAAGGAGCAGCUGCACUAAGGCAAUAUCUAUAGUAGAUGAGGACAGGUUAAUUAGCAAAAAUCACUAGUGUUUGUUCUUGUCAAUAAAAGCCAGGAGCCUAACAUUGAAGAUUUGAUGGUUAAAUUUUGCAAAUAUUCAAUAACCAGUAGAAUUUUUUUCAUCUAACAAUCAAAAUGAUUGUAUUGAAUUUCAGUAAAUUUUCCAUUUUGCAAGUGAUUUUUUAUUUCAAUUAC